Molecule: small nucleolar RNA, 87 nt
Organism: Mercurialis annua (annual mercury)
Lineage: Eukaryota; Viridiplantae; Streptophyta; Magnoliopsida; Malpighiales; Euphorbiaceae
Source: RefSeq, a predicted model, not a curated record
AAGCCUGUGAUGAUUUCUUUAAGAUUGGAAUUACCGUCUGAAUAUCAAUUGAUGUCAAUUUUUAAGACUGGCUGUCUGAGGCUUCAC